UGCCUGUACCAUAACCGACACAGGUGGGUAAGUAGAGUAUACUAAGGGGCGCGAGAUAACUCUCUCUAAGGAACUCGGCAAAAUAACUCCGUAACUUCGGGAGAAGGAGUGCCUUAUUCUUAAGGUUGCAAUAACAAGAUCCAAGCAACUGUUUAUCAAAAACACAGGUCUCCGCUAAGUCGUAGACGAUGUAUGGGGGCUGACGCCUGCCCAGUGCCAGAAGGUUAAAGAAGUCGGUUAGCAAUAGCAAAGCUGGUAACUGAAGCCCUGGUGAACGGCGGCCGUAACGAUAACGGUCCUAAGGUAGCGAAAUUCCUUGUCGGGUAAGUUCCGACCCGCACGAAAGGCGUAAUGAUUUGGAUGCUGUCUCGGAGAGGGGGCUCGGUGAAAUAGACUUGUCUGUGAAGAUGCGGACUACCUGCACCAGGACAGAAAGACCCUAUGAAGCUUUACUGUAACUUGAAAUUGAAAUUGGACUUUAUUCGCGCAGUAUAGGUGGGAGGCGUUGAUUAUAAUCUUGUGGGAUUAUUGGAGCCAUCAGUGAGAUACCACUCUUGUAAUGUUAGAUUUCUAACUUUGAAUCAUUAUCUGGUCAAAGGACAGUUUCAGGCGGGCAGUUUGACUGGGGCGGUCGCCUCCUAAACGGUAACGGAGGCGUACAAAGGUUUCCUCUGAACGGUUAGAAAUCGUAUCUAGAGUGUAAAGGCAUAAGGAAGCUUGACUGUGAGACCUACAAGUCGAGCAGGGACGAAAGUCGGUCUUAGUGAUCUGACGGUACUGAGUGGAAAGGCCGUCACUCAACGGAUAAAAGUUACUCUAGGAUAACAGGCUGAUCUCCCCCAAGAGUUCACAUCGACGGGGAGGUUUGGCACCUCGAUGUCGGCUCAUCGCAUCCUGGGGCGGUAGUACGUCCCAAGGGUUGGGCUGUUCGCCCAUGAAAGCGGUACGCGAGCUGGGUUCAGAACGUCGUGAGACAGUUCGGUCCAUAUCCGGUGUAGGCGCUAGAAUAUUGAGAGGAGCCUUCUUUAGUACGAGAGGACCGAGAAGGACAUACCUCUGGUGUACCAGUUAUCGUGCCAACGGUAAACGCUGGGUAGCUAUGUAUGGAGUGGAUAACCGCUGAAAGCAUCUAAGUGGGAAGCCCACCUCAAGAUAAGUAUUCUCAUCACGUAAGUGAGUAAGGUCACGGUAAGACUAACCGUUUGAUAGGCAUUAAGUGUAAGUACAGUAAUGUAUGUGCUGAGAUGUCCUAAUAGACCGAGGACUU
This 1267-nucleotide ribosomal RNA is filed under the name metagenome. Its description in RNAcentral is "bacterial LSU rRNA". It matches the Rfam family "Bacterial large subunit ribosomal RNA", at positions 1639 to 2925 of the family's 2925-position model. The record is from RNAcentral.